Long non-coding RNA from Canis lupus familiaris (dog), 895 nucleotides. RefSeq lists it as uncharacterized. The record is from RefSeq and is a predicted model, not a curated record. NCBI's taxonomy places the organism in Eukaryota, Metazoa, Chordata, Mammalia, Carnivora, Canidae. The transcript has 3 exons.
CUGGGGAGGCGUGGCUUGGCCGCUCCUCUUAGUAAAACGCUGAAUCAGAGUUCUUGGUAACUCUAGCUGUUUAAAACAAACUUUGUUGACCUUUAAAAAUGGAUUUGGGAGGUUGCCGGCAAGCAGCUCUUGGAAAUAGGCACAACUGAAAUCCGUGGACCAGCAUGUUUGUGCACGAGGAAGGGGGUGAGGUGCUGGGUCACUUUCUACAGAAAAUUUAUAAUAACUAAGCCAUCCAUAGAUGAAGUCCUGCUGGUCCCCAGUCAGUGAUGUACAGGUUACCACAUUUUCUGUGCUCAAAUACUUCUGGGCCAGUGGACUCUCAAAUGGAAAUUGGGAACAUGGACUUAUUUCAAGGGACCCACAAAUUGAUUCCGGAAGUGCUAGAACUGCCAACCUCAGGCAGCUGUGGCCUGCAGCCAAACCUACUGUGGGAGACUGGGGAUGCUCACGCAGGGCCAAAACUACCACUACUACUAGCAUGGAGUCCUGAAAUCAGAACAAUACCUGAUCUCAUCAAUUGAUUUGAAGACCAAAUGGAUGUGUUACCCAAGCACAUAACCUCACAACAGUGUGUUACAUUGUAUGCACUGUCAUUCAUCUCUGCUAGCUAUGUGGGACCAUGGUUUGUAAAUGAUUCAGCCAAACCAUCCAGAAUUCAACGAUUCCUCUUGGACUAUGUGGUUAAAUGCCUGGCCUCUUCAUAAAUUUCCUCCCUUCGCUUUUAGGCUGCAGUUGCUCCAGCCCUCACUUCCUAUUGGCAGCCCACAGUCUACUGGAGAAGAAGGCUCAGGCUGUAUGGUCCGAGCUUGUCUUCAGUCCCUUGUCAUGCUCCAAGGGUUCCUGUCCUCCCACAUAGGCUCUCUUCUUUAGGAAAUAAAUGGAGCAACAUUCA